AAAAAUAUGUCCAGGGUAGCCUAGUGGUCAUGGCAUCUGCCCGGUAAGCGGAAGGUCGUGGGUUCGAUUGGGUUGACACUUUUUUUA
Non-coding RNA from Cordylochernes scorpioides, 87 nucleotides. The record is from the annotation of a GenBank genome assembly. Lineage: Eukaryota; Metazoa; Arthropoda; Arachnida; Pseudoscorpiones; Chernetidae.